GAGUUUGAUCCUGGCUCAGAAUCAACGCUGGCGGCGUGCCUAACACAUGCAAGUCGAACCGCCUGUUUUCGGAGUAAUCUGGAAACAGGAGUGGCGAACGGGUGAGUAACACGUGGGUGAUCUGCCUUGGAGUGGGGGACAACUCGCUGAAAGGCGGGCUAAUACCGCAUAAGUCCCUGGGGUCGAACCCGGGGGGAAAGCUUCAGGAGCAAUCCUGAGGUGCUCUAAGAGGGGCCCGCGGCCGAUUAGCUUGUUGGGGGGGUAAGAGCCUCCCAAGGCGACGAUCGGUAGCCGGUCUGAGAGGACGGACGGCCACACUGGAACUGAGACACGGUCCAGACUCCUACGGGAGGCAGCAGUGGGGAAUUUUGCGCAAUGGCCGAAAGGCUGACGCAGCAACGCCGCGUGGAGGAAGAAGGUCUUCGGAUCGUAAACUCCUGUCCGAAGGGAAGAAGCUCCGCAAGGAGUUGACGGUACCUUUGGAGGAAGCCCCGGCUAACUCCGUGCCAGCAGCCGCGGUAAUACGGGGGGGGCAAGCGUUGUUCGGAAUUACUGGGCGUAAAGGGCGCGUAGGCGGCCCGGGAAGUCUCAGGUGAAAGCCCCCGGCUUAACCGGGGAAGGUCCUGGGAAACCACUGGGCUUGAGUGCUGGAGAGGGGAGCGGAAUUCCCGGUGUAGCGGUGAAAUGCGUAGAGAUCGGGAGGAACACCGGCGGCGAAGGCGGCUCCCUGGACAAGACACUGACGUUGAGGCGCGAAAGCCAGGGGAGCAAACGGGAUUAGAUACCCUGGUAGUC
Molecule: ribosomal RNA, 795 nt
Filed under: uncultured Chloroflexota bacterium
Lineage: Bacteria; Bacillati; Chloroflexota
Description: bacterial SSU rRNA
Rfam family: Bacterial small subunit ribosomal RNA
Source: RNAcentral